This is a long non-coding RNA of Hermetia illucens (black soldier fly), 479 nucleotides long. RefSeq lists it as uncharacterized. The record is from RefSeq and is a predicted model, not a curated record. The transcript has 2 exons. Lineage: Eukaryota; Metazoa; Arthropoda; Insecta; Diptera; Stratiomyidae.
AGUCCGACAAAAUUACUACAGAAUUUCGUUAGUUUGCUAUUGCGCCGGGGAUGUUAUUCUGCAGGAAGCAUGGCGUACAGCGUGAAAAUAGGUCGACAUUUAUUCAGCCCCUGAACGAGGAAAAAAAUUUAGCAUUCAAAUUAAAAAAUAAUUAACCUCCAUGUUGUUUUUCGCUUUUUUAAGUUCAAUGCAUAAUAAAGGGACAACACAAUUAGCAUUUCAUCGGAUAUUGUAAUUUGUACAUCAACCACCGCAGCAUCAUCAUAUCCUCGCACAGAUUACGGAUAUUAAUUAAAAUAUGAUGUGAUAAAAGCCAAACAUGUUUAUAACAGUGUAUCCUGCGUUUUUAUACUGUGGCAUUGCGCUCUUGGUAACUUGCGACAAUAAACGUGCAAUCAUUCGGAAAGAGAUUCAUAUAAAAGAUAUUUACUGUAUGCAAAUUGGCUUAAUUAUCCCUAAAAUAAAAUAUUGGAUAAUUU